RNAcentral lists this ribosomal RNA (1128 nucleotides) under Prochlorococcus marinus str. MIT 9303. RNAcentral describes it as "bacterial SSU rRNA". It matches the Rfam family "Bacterial small subunit ribosomal RNA", at positions 140 to 1303 of the family's 1533-position model. The record is from RNAcentral. Lineage: Bacteria; Bacillati; Cyanobacteriota; Cyanophyceae; Synechococcales; Prochlorococcaceae.
GGGAUAACGGUUGGAAACGGCCGCUAAUACCCCAUAUGCCGAGAGGUGAAAUGAAUUUCGCCUGAGGAUGAGCCCGCGUCUGAUUAGCUAGUUGGUGAGGUAAUGGCUCACCAAGGCAUCGAUCAGUAGCUGGUCUGAGAGGAUGAUCAGCCACACUGGGACUGAGACACGGCCCAGACUCCUACGGGAGGCAGCAGUGGGGAAUUUUCCGCAAUGGGCGCAAGCCUGACGGAGCAACGCCGCGUGAGGGAUGAAGGCCUCUGGGCUGUAAACCUCUUUUCUCAAGGAAGAAGAUCUGACGGUACUUGAGGAAUAAGCCACGGCUAAUUCCGUGCCAGCAGCCGCGGUAAUACGGGAGUGGCAAGCGUUAUCCGGAAUUAUUGGGCGUAAAGCGUCCGCAGGCGGCUUUUCAAGUCUGCUGUUAAAACGUGGAGCUUAACUCCAUCAAGGCAGUGGAAACUGAUUGGCUUGAGUGUGGUAGGGGCAGAGGGAAUUCCCGGUGUAGCGGUGAAAUGCGUAGAUAUCGGGAAGAACACCAGUGGCGAAGGCGCUCUGCUGGGCCAUAACUGACGCUCAUGGACGAAAGCCAGGGGAGCGAAAGGGAUUAGAUACCCCUGUAGUCCUGGCCGUAAACGAUGAACACUAGGUGUCGGGGGAAUCGACCCCCUCGGUGUCGUAGCCAACGCGUUAAGUGUUCCGCCUGGGGAGUACGCACGCAAGUGUGAAACUCAAAGGAAUUGACGGGGGCCCGCACAAGCGGUGGAGUAUGUGGUUUAAUUCGAUGCAACGCGAAGAACCUUACCAGGGUUUGACAUCCUGCGAAUCUCUUAGAAACKAGAGAGUGCCUUUGGGAACGCAGUGACAGGUGGUGCAUGGCUGUCGUCAGCUCGUGUCGUGAGAUGUUGGGUUAAGUCCCGCAACGAGCGCAACCCACGUUUUAGUUGCCAGCAUUCAGUUGGGCACUCUAGAGAGACCGCCGGUGAUAAACCGGAGGAAGGUGUGGAUGACGUCAAGUCAUCAUGCCCCUUACAUCCUGGGCUACACACGUACUACAAUGCUACGGACAAAGGGCAGCAAGYUCGCGAGGACAAGCAAAUCCCAUAAACCGUGGCUCAGUUCAGAUCGUAG